UUUAUUCCUCUUUUUUUUUUUAAUUUUAUUUUGCAAACUUUAAAUAUGAUUUCUAUAAUUUUAUUUUUUUUAUUUUAAUAUUAUAUAAUUUAAAAUAUAUCAUUUUAAUAUUUUAAGAUUUUAUUUAUUUCUCUUCGUCGGCGCCUCCGUUAAUCUUUCGUUAAAUCAUAUGUAAAAAAUUUCAGAUACACAUUUAUGAUUUAUCAAAUAUUCAUUUUAGUAUCAUGUGGAUUACCGAAUUUUUAUUUUAUUACUAUGUAGUUUUAACUUUGUCACUGACUUAACGAAAAAAUUAACCGAGGAGAUAAUGGAAAGGGAAAAAUAAAACUAUAUAUAUGGUAUGAAAGUGAUACAUUUUAAAUCACAAGAUACUAAAGUGAGAAAAUGUGAAAUCACCGGGGUGGUAUUUGAACUUUUCCCUUUUAAGAAAAAGGAAACUUUCUUCCCCAGGUUAAAAAUAAAAUUUUGAUCUCAUUUACCUCUGCUUUAAAAGGGGCAAACUUCAAAUACCAUUAUUGUGGUUUCGCACUUUUUUAUUUUAGUACCCUAUGGUUUAAACUAUAUCAAAUUAGUACCUUGGGAUUGUGGAAGGAUAAAAUAGUAAUUUUACAGAGAUAACAAAGUUAAUUAACAGAUUUUAACUCUAGGAGUAUAUUAGAAAUAGGUUGGAAUGUAGAAAGGGUAUUUUCAAUAUUAACCUUUUAAGAGGAGUAAAUUAGAAAGUCGAAAAUUUUUCAGGGGUAUAUAAGCAAUUGCCUCUAUUUUUUUUGUUUGAAGGAAAAAAUGUGAGUGGGAGUUUUUAGAAUUUAUUUUGAGAUUUUUUUCCAAAUGAGAG
RNAcentral lists this long non-coding RNA (835 nucleotides) under Ananas comosus (pineapple). RNAcentral describes it as "long non-coding RNA (ACOM_LNC017986)". Lineage: Eukaryota; Viridiplantae; Streptophyta; Magnoliopsida; Poales; Bromeliaceae. The record is from RNAcentral.